Molecule: long non-coding RNA, 656 nt
Filed under: Lathyrus oleraceus (garden pea)
Lineage: Eukaryota; Viridiplantae; Streptophyta; Magnoliopsida; Fabales; Fabaceae
Description: Pisum sativum (pea) long non-coding RNA (PSAT_LNC037516)
Source: RNAcentral
ACUACCAAGACGUUCAGGUAAAUAAGGGUUUGUUUUCUUGCUCUUCGUGUCUUUUCUUUUCGUAUUCAGUUAGCUCCUAAUCUCCUUCUCUAUUCCCUUGUAGUCGUUGCUGGUACGUGGUUCGAGCUUUAGUGAUGAUCUUUGAUUUGGGUUUAGCUCGAGCUUGUUGAGCUUCGGUGUGAAAAUCUCAACAAGUUCAAAACGGAGCUUUUCAAUGAGGGUUUUGGAGUGAUUUUGUCAGAGUAACGGUGCCCAAAAUCGGAUCCUUACUUCAUCAUUGGAGGUCCCUAUUUAUAGCGUUCUUGUACGAGGUUCAGUCUUUCCCCUCUUUCAUGAGCUGUCAAAUUUGUGGGAGAAUCAUUCCGUUAGCUAGCAAGAUUUUUCUCAGAUUUGGUGGUCCUCCAAAUUGAUGUGGUCCCUCAAAUGAAAAGGUAAGGUUUUGUCUGUAGUGAAUUUAUGAUAACCAUCCCUUUUCACUUUUCACUGCAGUAGUUGUUCUAUUUUACCCACGUAUUGACUUUUGUAACAGGUUUUUUUUACUGGUGUUUGUCUACUGUUAUUUGGUUAUGGAUAUGCGCACAAUAGCAAUGCUCCAACUUGACUUAAGGUUCGUCCAUCAUGGUUUACAACUGACUCGAGCUUUCCUGCAUUAACCC